GGAGAAAUGGCAGAGUGGUUGAAUGCGUCGGUUUUGAAAACCGAAAUGGGGUAAAAUCCAUCAAGGGUUCGAAACCCUUUUUCUCCU
Molecule: transfer RNA, 87 nt
Filed under: Prototheca stagnorum
Lineage: Eukaryota; Viridiplantae; Chlorophyta; Trebouxiophyceae; Chlorellales; Chlorellaceae
Also listed under: 1 other name
Description: tRNA-Ser
Rfam family: tRNA
About the family: Transfer RNA (tRNA) molecules are approximately 80 nucleotides in length. Their secondary structure includes four short double-helical elements and three loops (D, anti-codon, and T loops).
Source: RNAcentral